UUCAACCACUGUAACUGGUAGGGAUUUAGAUGUUUGAUGCAUGUCAACCCUACUUUUUUCAUGAAUAGAGUGCUUACCAGAUUAACAUAAUUACCAUUGUCAAUGAUCAUUCCACAUACCUUAUGAUUGACAAGACAUUGUGUGUGGAAAAGGUUCUCCCUCUGCUUGUUGUCUUCACUCCUAAUUUGCAUGUUGAGAGCUCUUCGGACAACAAGGACAUUACUCUCAAGUG
RNAcentral lists this long non-coding RNA (232 nucleotides) under Carica papaya (papaya). Its description in RNAcentral is "long non-coding RNA (CPAP_LNC007209)". Lineage: Eukaryota; Viridiplantae; Streptophyta; Magnoliopsida; Brassicales; Caricaceae. The record is from RNAcentral.